Molecule: transfer RNA, 72 nt
Filed under: Puccinia sorghi
Lineage: Eukaryota; Fungi; Basidiomycota; Pucciniomycetes; Pucciniales; Pucciniaceae
Rfam family: tRNA
About the family: Transfer RNA (tRNA) molecules are approximately 80 nucleotides in length. Their secondary structure includes four short double-helical elements and three loops (D, anti-codon, and T loops).
Source: Rfam by way of RNAcentral
GCAUACUUAGCUCAAUGGUUAGAGUAUCACUCAUAAGUGCUGAGGUUGUGGGGUUGAGUCCCACAGUACACA